CGGGUGGUAAUGCCGGAUGUUCCACAUGAUCGCAUGUGAUUGUGGGAAAGAUUUCAUCGGCGUGGGAUGGGGUCGCGUCCUAUCAGCUUGUUGGUGAGGUAACGGCUCACCAAGGCUUCGACGGGUAGCCGGCCUGAGAGGGCGACCGGCCACAUUGGGACUGAGAUACGGCCCAGACUCCUACGGGAGGCAGCAGUGGGGAAUAUUGCACAAUGGGCGCAAGCCUGAUGCAGCGACGCCGCGUGAGGGAUGGAGGCCUUCGGGUUGUAAACCUCUUUUGUUUGGGAGCAAGCCUUCGGGUGAGUGUACCUUUCGAAUAAGCGCCGGCUAACUACGUGCCAGCAGCCGCGGUAAUACGUAGGGCGCAAGCGUUAUCCGGAUUUAUUGGGCGUAAAGGGCUCGUAGGCGGCUCGUCGCGUCCGGUGUGAAAGUCCAUCGCUUAACGGUGGAUCUGCGCCGGGUACGGGCGGGCUGGAGUGCGGUAGGGGAGACUGGAAUUCCCGGUGUAACGGUGGAAUGUGUAGAUAUCGGAAAAGAAACACC
Molecule: ribosomal RNA, 543 nt
Filed under: Bifidobacterium bifidum
Lineage: Bacteria; Bacillati; Actinomycetota; Actinomycetes; Bifidobacteriales; Bifidobacteriaceae
Description: bacterial SSU rRNA
Rfam family: Bacterial small subunit ribosomal RNA
Source: RNAcentral